RNAcentral lists this transfer-messenger RNA (388 nucleotides) under Prochlorotrichaceae. Its description in RNAcentral is "JAAUOP01 sp012034805 Standard tmRNA". It matches the Rfam family "transfer-messenger RNA". From Rfam's summary of the family: Bacterial tmRNA, also known as 10Sa RNA or SsrA, is named for its dual tRNA and mRNA-like properties. The record is from RNAcentral. Lineage: Bacteria; Bacillati; Cyanobacteriota; Cyanophyceae; Prochlorotrichales. RNAcentral also lists the same sequence under 2 other names.
GGGGCUGUCAUGGUUUCGACGUGUUAGUGAACGUUACCGUGUGAUACAGGUCGAGAGUGAGCGCUCUCUCGUAAAUCCAUGCUCAACAACAAGUAAAUGCGAACAACAUCGUAUCCUUCUCUCGUAAGCCGGCUCUUGUAGCUGCUUAAAAAUCCUUUUCGGAUCGAGAGGUCUUCAGUACGACUCCGUUAAGGAUUGAAGACAAACCCCAACGGAUGCUGCUAGGUUAUUGCCUCUAGUCCUUGCCUAGUUUAAGAACUCACUGGAGAAUCCUAUGAUCGGGGAUAAUCGAUCGUUCCCGCCCGAGGGUUAGAAGGGCUAAACCUGUGAAUGAGCUAAGAGCUAAUAACUGAUACGGACAGCGGUUCGAUUCCGCUCAGCUCCAUCG